UUACGGGAGGCAGCAGUCGAGAAUUUUUCUCAAUGGGGGAAACCCUGAAGGAGCGACGCCGCGUGGGGGAUGAAUGGCUUCGGCCCGUAAACCCCUGUCAUUUGCGAUCAAACCUUACGACCUAACACGUCGUAAGCUGAUAGUAGCGGAAGAGGAAGGGACGGCUAACUCUGUGCCAGCAGCCGCGGUAAUACAGAGGUCCCAAGCGUUGUUCGGAUUCACUGGGCGUAAAGGGUGCGUAGGCGGUCGGGUAAGUCUGACGUGAAAUCUUCAAGCUCAACUUGGAAACUGCGUCGGAUACUAUUCGGCUAGAGGAAUGGAGGGGAGACUGGAAUACUUGGUGUAGCAGUGAAAUGCGUAGAUAUCAAGUGGAACACCAGUGGCGAAGGCGAGUCUCUGGACAUUUCCUGACGCUGAGGCACGAAAGCCAGGGGAGCAAACGGGAUUAGAUACCCUGGUAGC
This 462-nucleotide ribosomal RNA is filed under the name uncultured bacterium. RNAcentral describes it as "bacterial SSU rRNA". It matches the Rfam family "Bacterial small subunit ribosomal RNA", at positions 339 to 794 of the family's 1533-position model. The record is from RNAcentral.